CGAUCUUAGUGGCGGACGGGUGGAGUAACGACGUGGGUAACCGUGCCUUAUACAGGGGAGUAACACUUAGAAAUAGGUGCUAAUACCGCAUAAGCGCACGGGGCUGCAUGGCCCAGUGUGAAAAACUCCGGUGGUAUAAGAUGGACCCGCGUCUGAUUAGCUUGUUGGCGGGGUAACGGCCCACCAAGGCGACGAUCAGUAGCCGGCCUGAGAGGGUGGACGGCCACAUUGGGACUGAGACACGGCCCAAACUCCUACGGAAGGCAGCAG
This 270-nucleotide ribosomal RNA is filed under the name uncultured bacterium. RNAcentral's name for it is "partial 16S ribosomal RNA". It matches the Rfam family "Bacterial small subunit ribosomal RNA", at positions 87 to 354 of the family's 1533-position model. The record is from RNAcentral.